AGAUAUUCCUGAUAACUAUAUGUAACAGAAAACAAGAACAUCAAAUUUUAUGUAAGAUAAUUUGUGCCCCAAAUUGAGGUUGAAGAGUAACAAGAACAUUUGGAGCAUGUUUGUAAGAAGGUGAAAGUUCAAAUGAGAAUCGUUGCAAAAUGAGAGCUAGUGCUAAUUUGGCUUCAAGCAUAGCAAAGUUUUGUCCAAUGCACACUCUUGGUCCCCAACCAAAAGUAAAGAAUGGCCUGGAAUUUCCAUGAGAAAAUCUUUCAGGAUUGAACUCAGUUGCGUCCUGUCCCCAUAGUUCAGGAUCCCUAUGUAUAAGGUACAAUGGGAUCUCAAAGCCGACUCCUGCUGGAAAACAGUAUUCUGCCAAUUUAGUCUCUUCAUAUACGGAUCGGAAAAGGGACGUUGCUGGAUAUAAUCUUAAUACCUCAAGAAGGAUCGCAUUCACCUAAAAGAUUUUGAUAAAAAUAUAAUGUUAUCAAGAAAUUAAAAAAGAAAGAUACAUACUUUAAAAUUAACAAACUUACAUUUUUCAAGCGGUUUAACUCAUCGAAAGUUGGUUUAUUUUUUCCCAGAAGUUGCACAAUCUCCUUCCUAGCCUUUUCUUGCCAAUUCAAAUGCAUGCUCAAUACAAUCAUAGUCCAAGUUAACAAAUUUGCAGUAGUCUCAUGACCAGCAAAGUAGAAUAGCUUGCAUUCUUCUAUCACAUCUUCUUUUGACAUCCCAAUAUUUUUGUUUUCUUGAACCUCAUCCAAGUUGGACUUGAGUAGCAGAUUCAAUAAAUCAUCUUGCCCUGCAUUUCCUGAUAGUAUAGCCUUCUCUCUGUUUUCCACGAGGCCUAGGAGUAAAGCUCGAACUUGUUGAUGAAUUUGCAUCAUUCUUUUGUUUAAUUUUGAAGGCAGGAACCUAUGGAUUCAACUAAAAUCUCAUUUCAUGAAUACACUAAUUAGCACUUCAAAACUUUUUUUUUCAGUUUUAGAUAGGUUGAAACUCGCAAUCUCGCAGUUUUAGAGACAACUCAAAUAUCAUUAAGUCAAAGACCAUUAAUGUCUAGAUGAAGCUUAAAUUACAUAAGUCUUUGAAUUUAAUGUUUAUGUUUAAGACAUAAGAUCAUGAAAAAAGGGUUAUGAAUUAAAAACUAUAAAAAGGCAAAAGAAAUGGAAUCAAAGUCAAAUAAUUACUGCUUUGCAUACCUUGACCAUAAAGAAUUUAAACUGUAAAGUGACUGUAAAUAGAGUCCUGCUUGUUUCCUUUGGAGAGAAAAUAUAAAUUUCCCUUCUUCAAUAUUACUACCAAAAGCUGCUCUUGAUAUAAUGUCUCCUGUUAGGUUUUGGAGCUCAGGCAUAACAUCCAAUUCAUAAAAUUCUUUUGAGCCUACUAAAUUAUCCCAUUUCUCAAUCAUUUCUUCACAAGAUGCCAUAAAAGAUGGCAACAUCCCCUGCAGAAAUGAAUCUUAAUCUGUCAUUUUUUUUAUGUCCAUAGAAAAAUUUCUACUGUAACUAAUAAGAAAACACAUUAACAAAGUAACCUUUAACUUUUCUGUGUGAAAUGCAGGGUUGAUUAUCUUCCUGUGCAGUGCCCAUUUAUCUCCAUCAAUAUUUGCAAGACCUCUCAGGAAAAAUUUAAAGUUUGAAGUUACUUCUAGCUUUCGAAAUUCCGAUUUUCUUGUCAUAAUCUCUUUUGCUAGCUUUGGAUCCAUUAUUGUUACACGAGGAGUCAUUCCAUACCAAAUUGCAAAUGGCUUCUCUGCAAGAAAAUACAAAAAUUCAUUUCUUUUAUUAAUCAAGCUUCCACCUGCAGGAUUAAAACUUCCAAACACUAGCUAAAAUGGAUUAUUCAGUAGCAGAAAAGGAACUUUGUUAAUAAACUAUUAGUUUGAAAAAACUUACUGUAAGUCAUGUAGAGUUGGUGAAGCAAUGGAUUGAGAAGAUGACCAAUAUCAUGGGUUAGUUCCAUAGGCUUAGACUUGGCUUCUGUGGCUAACUUGAUCAUCUCUUUAACGUUUCCAUAAAGUAACUUGUAUGGAAGAGCAUGGAUGCCUUGUCUUCUCAGCUUCUUCUCUAUCAUUUUCGGUGUCCACCAUAUUUUAUGUAAUAGUUUCACACUCCAAACUAUAACCGGAACACACAACAGUAACCCCAAAACCAAGAAUGCCAUAGUUCUGUUGUCUGAGCGGAGUUCUUGGUUUAGUAUGUGACUUGUUCUUGGUUUUAUAUUUUGAUUCUGAGGCAGACCUAGUGGGUUUAUACAGGCAAAACAUGUGAAGAUGUUAUUACGUCGGAGUUAGACUAAUUGUUAAAUAAAACAUGAAUGAACCUGGAAUCUAGGCAAACUUUACGGUCAUCAAUUUGAAACCUGGAAUCCCAACUAACAUCAAGUAAGCUCGUUUUCCCAACUAACAUCGAGUAAGCCCACUUGUGGUCUCAUCCUUACAGGAUUGAAAUCGCUUACCAACUUAUAAGACAAUAGGCUCAUAGGUAUAAAUUAAUUUUAGCUGUUCUUCAAGUUUUAAAAUUUUCCUCUUUCUGGUUUUAAUAAAAAAAAAAAAAAAAAUCAUGUGAAGAGAAUCCUCCACCAAACAUGAGCAAUCCAUGCAAUGCUUAUGAGUAGUGAACCCUCUACGAGCAUGGACUGCGUGAAGCUUCUACGAGCACGGACUGCAUUGCACAUAAUACUCUCAUAUAUUGCCUGCUAACCAAAGAAAUAAACAGAUCUACAUCCCACCCUCUACGAGGUAUUGCCUUUUCCUCAUGAAAUCAUAUGUUUCUGUUUGAAUUUCUUUCUUUUCUCUUUCUAUCUAUUCAACAAAGUUGCUGCUUCUAUUUUCAGCCACAGGCAAUCUAUGUCGGGGAAGAAUGCAUUUUGGUGAGGGUACUAAUUAUUUAUUAGGAAAUACGUUUUCAAUUCUUCUACUACACAUGCAUUGUAAGUAUUCUUCCUUACAUAUUCUGAACCGUACACGGUUUUUUCGGCGGUGUUGAUCACCAAUGGGAUGGUGAGCUCUUUGCCACAGCUGGUGCUCAAGUGAUAUUUGGGAAUCACAAUAGUUUUAAAUCUAAACUAGGUUAUUGUUCCAUUAAGUGCAAAGUUAUAUCAAUUAUGUUUACAGUGCAACUUCUGUUAUAUCUGUUCGAUUUAAUCCUGGGAACCAAACCUUUUGGCAACGACUGAAAGGUGUUCCUGGAUAAAUGACAUAGAGUUCAAUUAUCAUGUGCUUAAUCAUUCAAUGUACAACUCAAGUUGAUAGUUCAAAUCCUUUCCCACGUUGAGACAAUGAAACAUGAACAUUGUAACAAUUCCUCACACAUGCGAUAACGAAAAUGUUGUGUCAGUUGAUCUAGAAUAUUGGUAGAGUUGAAGUCAUUUUGUGAACAGAUUUUUCAAGUUGAAGCAUGCAUUAGCAUGAACAACAAACUCAAUCCGAUGCAAAAGAAAAGUAAAAAUUAGAAGUGUGAGGAUACUCGUGGGAAUAACAAAAGUGAAAUUACAAUAAUAGAGAAGAUAUUACAACAAGUCUGUAAGUAGGUGAAAGCUCAAAUGAUAUAUACUUGUUGCAUGUUCUAAUUAAGCUUUAUGUAUGUGUGUAUAUAUAGCCUAGAUCAGAUAUUCCUGACAACUAUAUGUAAUAGAAAAUGAGUUCAUCAAAUUUUCUGUAAGAUAAUUUGUGCCCCAAAUUGAGGUUGGAGAGUAAGAGAAACAUUGGGAGCAUGUUUGUAAGAAGGUGAAAGUUCAAAUGAGAAGCGUUGCAAGAUAAGAGCUAGUGCUAAUUUGGCUUCAAGCAUAGCAAAGUUUUGUCCAAUGCACACUCUCGG
RNAcentral lists this long non-coding RNA (3809 nucleotides) under Jatropha curcas. RNAcentral describes it as "long non-coding RNA (JCUR_LNC003026)". The record is from RNAcentral. Lineage: Eukaryota; Viridiplantae; Streptophyta; Magnoliopsida; Malpighiales; Euphorbiaceae.